Molecule: long non-coding RNA, 103 nt
Organism: Myotis davidii
Lineage: Eukaryota; Metazoa; Chordata; Mammalia; Chiroptera; Vespertilionidae
Exons: 3
Source: RefSeq, a predicted model, not a curated record
AUAUGUUCUCCCACUCUAUGGCUUGCCUGAUUCCUGUCUUAAAGAUGAUGUCUUUUGAUGAACCAGAAAUUCUUAUUUUUCAAGAAGAGCAUAUUAUAUUUCC